AAAACCAAAAAUGGGCAGUCGACGAGAGACCUUCGGGUCUCUAGUGGCGAACGGGUGAGUAACACGUAGGGAACCUGCCCGCGCACCGGGAAUACGCUCUGGAAACGGAGAACAAAUCCCGAUGUACAGGAAGGAGGCAUCUUCUUUCUGUGAAACAUCCUUUCGGGGAUGGGGCGCGGAUGGACCUGCGGUGCAUUAGUUGGUUGGCGGGGUAAAGGCCCACCAAGACGAUGAUGCAUAGCCGGCCUGAGAGGGCGGACGGCCACAUUGGGACUGAGACACGGCCCAGACUCCUGCGGGAGGCAGCAGUAGGGAAUUUUCGUCAAUGGGCGCAAGCCUGAACGAGCGAUGCCGCGUGAGUGAAGAAGGCCUUCGGGUCGUAAAGCUCUGUUGCGGGGGAAAAAAGGCAGCAUCAGGAAAUGGGUGCUGACUGAUGGUGCCCCGCCAGAAAGUCACGGCUAACUACGUGCCAGCAGCCGCGGUAAUACGUAGGUGGCGAGCGUUAUCCGGAAUGAUUGGGCGUANAGGGUGCGCAGGCGGUCCUGCAAGUCUGGAGUGAAACGCAUGAGCUCAACUCAUGCAUGGCUUUGGAAACUGGAGGACUGGAGAGCAAGAGAGGGCGGUGGAACUCCCUGUGUAGCGGUAAAAUGCGUAAAUAUAUGGACGAACCCUAGUUGGGAAUAGUGCCACCCUGUUUUGUUGUCCAUGUUGAUGCACCACAGCCCGUGAAAUAAUCACGUUUAACAUCCC
RNAcentral lists this ribosomal RNA (750 nucleotides) under uncultured bacterium. Its description in RNAcentral is "bacterial SSU rRNA". It matches the Rfam family "Bacterial small subunit ribosomal RNA", at positions 43 to 787 of the family's 1533-position model. The record is from RNAcentral.